CAAAAAAUCAGCAGUGGCAGCUGCACAACAAACUCCAGAAACCAGACUGAAAAUAGCAGCCCCACCCACUAAUUUAGGAUCUCGGACACAGAGUUCACUUAAUGGUUAAAAGAAAAUCGAUCUCUACCAGAGCCCAGAAAGUCCUAUACAGUAAAGAUGAUACCACCUGGAGCACACAUCACAACUGAUCCACACAGGGAACUCUAUCCCGCUCUUUUGUACAGAGCAAUCAGUAGCAGAACAAAAAGAAUCGUCCUCGAGCACUACAGGGUAAAUACAUGGAACUCCCUAACCACUAUUUCUUUUUAUUGCGUUUGUACAUGACGUUAAUUGAGACGAGUAACAUGCAUAUAUAGUGACAUUGUCAUUUAGGAACUUGA
This is a long non-coding RNA of Halichondria panicea, 380 nucleotides long. RefSeq lists it as uncharacterized. NCBI's taxonomy places the organism in Eukaryota, Metazoa, Porifera, Demospongiae, Suberitida, Halichondriidae. The transcript has 2 exons. The record is from RefSeq and is a predicted model, not a curated record.